This 270-nucleotide ribosomal RNA is filed under the name uncultured archaeon. RNAcentral's name for it is "partial 16S ribosomal RNA". It matches the Rfam family "Archaeal small subunit ribosomal RNA", at positions 477 to 747 of the family's 1478-position model. The record is from RNAcentral.
CAGCACCUCAAGUGGUCAGGAUGAUUAUUGGGCCUAAAGCAUCCGUAGCCGGCGCUGUAAGUUUUCGGUUAAAUCUGUACGCUCAACGCACAGGCUGCCGGGAAUACUGCAGCGCUAGGGAGUGGGAGAGGUAGACGGUACUCGGUAGGAAGGGGUAAAAUCCUUUGAUCUAUUGAUGACCACCUGUGGCGAAGGCGGUCUACCAGAACACGUCCGACGGUGAGGGAUGAAAGCUGGGGGAGCAAACCGGAUUAGAGACCCGAGUAGUCC